This 438-nucleotide long non-coding RNA is filed under the name Elaeis guineensis (African oil palm). RNAcentral describes it as "long non-coding RNA (EGUI_LNC068397)". The record is from RNAcentral. Lineage: Eukaryota; Viridiplantae; Streptophyta; Magnoliopsida; Arecales; Arecaceae.
AUUGAAGACUUCUUGAAGGCUUUGAAGGAUCUCUAGAUCAAAGUUGAAACAAUAGGCAUGAAAAAUCCUCUCUUUGAAUGCUCUUGAAUCUCUUUUACAAUCUCUCGUGUAGAUUUUGGAUCCUCUUUUCUUUUUCUCUCGAAUAUCUCGUUGAUCACUUCGUGUAUUUUGGAUCCUCUCAAUUGUAUCUUGUAUUUUCACCUUUUGAAACAUUUUAUAGCAUUAAGAAACAAGAGAAAAUAUAUUAGGCAGAAAAAGAGCCGUUAGAGCAUUUUUAGGAAGCAUAAAAGGCAAUUAAAACGGGCAAAAAACUAGCCGUUGCGGAUGAUUUCCGUCGCAGGGGUCGACUCAUGAGUCGACUUAUGCUUCAGGAGUCGACUCAUGAGUCGACUUCUGUUGCAACAGCCAGAAAAUGAGUUUCUGCAACUUUUGGCCUAA